RNAcentral lists this small RNA (30 nucleotides) under Bombyx mori (domestic silkworm). RNAcentral describes it as "ovarian small RNA-15712". Lineage: Eukaryota; Metazoa; Arthropoda; Insecta; Lepidoptera; Bombycidae. The record is from RNAcentral.
GAGAGGUACGCUGUUCGCAGCGCGCACGGC